AAUGUCCAACUGACAGCAGCAAAGUGAAGACCUCUCUACCUCCCUCUCCAUUAAUUCCUCACUGGCAUGUUCAGGAUCUUGGCCUCACUCCAGUUCAAGGAGAUUGGAACCACCUGGACCAUCUGGAUAUCCCACAGAAGACCACACUGACCCAUUAUUACACUGAUGAUAUCAUGCUGAUUGGGCAAGACAAGCAAGAGGAAGGAAGGCCCACAGAAGUUGCUGUGUGAACAUGUGUGGAGAUGUGAAUCCAUAUAGCUCAAAGGGUGGACUGUGACACCUAUGAGUCCAUGGAUCAGGAAUUUGGAGUGAGGACAGUUGAGAUGGCUUUUCUCUGCUUUACGCUGUCUGAAACCUCAACUUGGAAGACUCAAACCUCAGAAGGUGUUUUAAACAUACGGAAUCUGGAGAUAUCUGAAGCCUUCUUCAUUCACAUGCAUGGUGUCUGGAUUUGGAUGUGUCAAAAUCUGGGCUAAGUUGUACCUCUUGCCAGAACCUCUACAUAUGGCUUCUUCAUGUGUCUUUUGUUUUCUCAUGGUAUGGUGACAUCAGGGUCAUUGAAUUUCUAUCAUGGGAUUUCAAGGCAUCAAGAGCAAAUGUUUCUGUAAAUCAGGUGAAAGCUUCAAGGCCUUUUUUGACAGCUUCAGAAGUCACACAGUGUCACUUUUGCUGUACUCUAUUAGUCAAAGCAGUAACAAGCCUGUCAAGAUUCAAGGGGGAGGAGAAUUACAGCCCACAUCUCAAUGGGAAGAGUAAUAAUUCACAGCCAUCUUUGUAACCACUGAAAUCAACAGCAUAAUUAUAAAAUCAAUUAAUUUAACUUUGAUACAAUACAGUCAGCUCCCAAGUUCUUCAGUCAGGCUGACCAGGUCUGAAUUCUGUCUCUGCCUCUUAUGAGAUACAUGACAUUUGGCAGGUAACUCUGGUUACCAAAUCCUCAGGUUCUUCAUCUCUAAAUGAGGCCAAUGACACCUAUGUCUUUUAGAGUUGCUUCAAGGGCUAAAUAACAUAAUUACAUGAUGAGUCUGACAUAAAUAGUGGCUUACUAAGCAUUAGGUCUUCCUCCUCAGAGAAAUAAACAUGGUACUGAGUACUCAAAAGGCCUAUAAUUGAUUACGGUUAUUUGGGAAGCUUUAGAGGUGACUGGCUUUCUGAGAAAUAAUGGAGAAAUUCAUUACAAAAUUAAAAUAUUGCCUUACUAAGUUCU
This is a long non-coding RNA of Pan troglodytes (chimpanzee), 1207 nucleotides long. RefSeq lists it as uncharacterized. The transcript has 4 exons. NCBI's taxonomy places the organism in Eukaryota, Metazoa, Chordata, Mammalia, Primates, Hominidae. The record is from RefSeq and is a predicted model, not a curated record.